GGCACAGUGUAGUGGUUUGAGUACCGGACUACAACUCUGGAGAUCAGGGUUCGAUUCCCCACUCUGCCA
Phrynosoma platyrhinos (Desert horned lizard) is the source of this 69-nucleotide non-coding RNA. The record is from the annotation of a GenBank genome assembly. NCBI's taxonomy places the organism in Eukaryota, Metazoa, Chordata, Lepidosauria, Squamata, Phrynosomatidae.